Molecule: small nucleolar RNA, 107 nt
Organism: Coffea eugenioides
Lineage: Eukaryota; Viridiplantae; Streptophyta; Magnoliopsida; Gentianales; Rubiaceae
Source: RefSeq, a predicted model, not a curated record
AUCUAGUGCUGAGGGUAUUUAAUGCACAACUUCUUGAAUCGCUCUCAAUAAUCAUAUAGAGACUCCUCAGGGUGCUGUUUAAUGUCGCAUAUCUCCUUUCUUAGACU